Raphanus sativus (radish) is the source of this 744-nucleotide long non-coding RNA. RefSeq lists it as uncharacterized. The transcript is spliced from 3 exons. NCBI's taxonomy places the organism in Eukaryota, Viridiplantae, Streptophyta, Magnoliopsida, Brassicales, Brassicaceae. The record is from RefSeq and is a predicted model, not a curated record.
UUCCACGUUGGAAAUACCCACUUUCAGAGCGUGACACGCGUCCGUGUAAAUGAAACUCCGCGUAUUGGUGUAUUGGGCUCUGGCUCGAGAUUGUAUUUGAGGCCCGUGUUACUCUCCGGUCCAGCGAAACCCUAAUCAUUGUAGACUUGGUCAUUCGUCGUCUUCGCGUCUUCGCUCACUUCGAUCGCGACGAGACGAUACAAUUUCCGUAACAGUAUGCGUUGUGAUUCUUUGUUUCCUCUUCUCCAAUCGUAAAUUUUAUUCCAUUCUUCCUUCUUCCUUAUUUUAAGAUUUCUUUUGUUUUCUCAAACUCGCGACCCUUCGCUUCCUUUCUACCAACUCUCUCAUCUUCCGCCCUCGUCGAUUUUCAUCAUCAAAGGAGAGACUGCUCCGCCGCCACCGAUUUCAUCAAAGGAGUUUCUAGGGUUUUGGGGGUUGGUGUCGUGGACAUCCGAAGCCGUGGUUUCAGUACUAUAUCAUGUGAGAUCAACGAAGCUCGGAAGUUAAGAAGAAGAGCUAAAUCUCAUGAUUUCCUACAAAGAUCGAGGGUUACUACAUAGGACUGGAGAGGCUCUGUCGGGAGAGACUAUCAAAAAGCAACACAAUCAUUUCCGUCGCCGGCGAAUUACUCUCACUGGAAAAUAAAUAUUUUGAAGAAUGAAGAGUAACUUAGACGACAGCAACGAUGAAAAGCAGCCUGAGCGAAAGCGCCCUGCUCUUGCUAGGUUUGUUAGUAUUCAUUCA